Long non-coding RNA from Taeniopygia guttata (zebra finch), 3553 nucleotides. The record is from Ensembl. NCBI's taxonomy places the organism in Eukaryota, Metazoa, Chordata, Aves, Passeriformes, Estrildidae.
GAUGAAUCAACCCCCACUCCCUGCAGCUUGCAGGAUUGCAGAAUGUUUUUGGAAGUCCUCUGCCCAGUCAUUUUGAGAGGAUGCUGACCCUGUAUUAUCAGUGAGGAAAGAAGGCAGGCAGUGAUGAAUAAAAGAAGGGUCUUCAUAAUUUCAGUUUCUCAAUGUGAGUCACCCACAGCCUGAGUGCUGAUGACAGAUAUUCAGAGCUCAGCUCCAGCAGUCAUUGCACAAUCUACAGACCUCCCACCCAAACACCCAGAGGUAUUAAACUGCGACUGUGCACAAGGACUGGCCUUUCCUUUAGCCUGGCUCCAAAAGUAAAUUGGAAAAGUCAAGCAUUGGAAGAUGAGGAGAAUGGGAGCAGGCACAGAAGCAAGUGUGAGAUAACCUACUAAGAUAGUGUCUGUGCUGUGGAGAAGUUCAAGAACCUGUUUCCUUACAAACCAUUCAGUGUGUCUGGCACCGCAGAGCUGAUGGGAACCACUCCCUGCAUUGAUCUGGCGAUGCAGACCUGAAGAUUAUUUGCCUACAAACAGCUAUUGUUUGCAGGACUGGCAAAUGAAAAAAACAAGUAUGUUUUCUCCACAGAUCAUUUUGCUUCCUACUUUCUCUUGAUAAGAGGAAUUUAGGGACAGUUCCCAUGUUAUGGAAGCAGUGGUUAUCUAGGCAGGAACGGAGAAGCCUAAAAUGUGCUUUCUUCUUCUGCUCCUUCCUCCCUUGUCUCUUUGCUCUCACUCAUCAUCACAUCUGUUCUGGGCCCAAUGCCCGACAGUUCUGCAUUAACGCCUCAGUACACACAGGCUCCCACAGCUGAACAGUUCGCAGUGCCACGUACCCAGUGCCGUCAUGUCUUCCCGAAUCAAGCUCCUGCAAACCAGUUUUGUUUACGGGAAGAAUCACUUGGCUUCAGAAUGCUACUUGUGAGCUGUGCCCAGCUGACUCGAGACACUCCAAUGGUUUUGCAGGGCGCCAUCGUGAAUCUAGAAAAUACAGACCAGAGCAGCUAUUCUCUGCACAAUCCCUCUCUUUUCCACCUUUUGGGUUGAAUUCUGCUGUUUGAACCAGAAGCCGGGAAACUGCUCUUCUCCUAACCUCGGCGGUACUUUCUGUGAAGAUUUGAUGAUGUUACCGUGUCCAAAGGCACCUUCCAAGCCCCAGCGGGAAAAGCCAAACCACGGCCCCUGUCCAGCAGGCUCUUUGGCACCAGGAAAAUCUCAGCUAUUGUCUUACUGGCUCUGGUUCUGUUAGGCCUUGGAUCUGCUUAAUCUUUAAAGCUAUUCAAACAAAUUGAAUGAUACAAGGCAAUUAAAUAGGCACUAAGUCCUUCUGUCAAGAGUGCUACCAUGAACAAAGUUAAAAGGAACAAACCUGGAAAUCUUCCCUUCAUGAAGAAGAAAGAGAUGCAAACAUAAAGUCAUGGGAGAGCUGGUACUGGUGCCUGGACAGAGACCAAGUUUUAAAGUAGCCCCUGUGCUACAAACCACAGAACACGAACACAGGAAUGAUGGUUUGUCCCAGGCACAGCUUCUGCAGGAUGUUAUUUUGUCAGUUUAUCCCAACCUCGCAGGGAUUCAGCGCUGGCACUCAAAGGUCUCAUUUGAACCUUUUGAAAUGUUUAUUCUUUCACUACUACUGUCCAAAGAAAAUGGAAAUGAUGCCACCGAGUAUGGAAGAACUCGUGACGUCCAUAGUCAGCUGCCACUGUGGAUGAUGAAGCUUCAGCUGUGGUUUGCUCCUUCUCAUGUUAUGCAAUUUUCUCUUGGUAUUUGGCAGAACUGCUUCAGAAUGGAUACUUUGCAGAGCUGUGCAUCUUGUGAUGAGGCAUUGUUGAAAUCCUCCAGUGUAGACUCCCUUGUAGGAGUCAAAACUUUAUCUGGGUUAUCAGGAAAAUAAGAAUUAUGUUGGGGUUUUGGGGACAAUUUUUUUGUGAUCUGGACUGUCUGGCUUCAGUGGAAAAGCAACACACUGAGAAAGGUCUGUAGGUCUGCACCUGCAAAACUCCUAGACUGCAGAUACUGAUACCCACUGAGGCCAUUGGUAAAACCCCAGCACAGGUUCAGGUCAACAGCUCUGCAGGCUGCCCCACUGACAAUCUCUCCUUUCUGACUUUCCAUCUUUCCUUACACAUUUUUCUUCAGAUCCUGUAAAAUACACUGAAAUAAUGAAAACCUUUUGAUUUUGAAGCUAAUGUCUAUAGCAGUGAUGGUUUAUACAGUGCUGUUCUACCUCCAGGGAAUUACCUGAUGGGCCAAAUGAGUUGGGUUUGCUUGAGUUUCUGAGCAGCUGAGGGUCUGUCUUUCCAUGGACACAGACAGAAGUGGUGCUGACUGAUGGAGAGAGCAGAAAGCUGUGCCCAGGGUCACAUGAGCUGCUUGCAGUCUUGUCCUUGGUCACAUCAGGUGACUCCCUCUCUGCUGAAUGUCCUACCCCUCAUGCCAGGCAACAGUUCCACCUUUUACUCAUCGAGGUGUAGUGUCAAACCAUGUGCCCAGGAUGUUGGAGCUCUGUGCCAGCUUUUCACCUCUCACACCACCAGUGUCUCCAGAAAGGUAGAAGUGAGAAGGACAAUCCAUGGAACAUUCCCACACUGAUGAGGCAUUUCCCAUCUCUGAAAGAAACACAGAAGGAUGCUGUCCUCACCCCAAAUGUACGUGCUUAGUGGAAGAGCAAGGGCAUGAAACCCCUUUUAAAAUAUCUACUGUUCAUGCAGAAAUAUAUCUCUACAUAAUGCUGAACUUCUCAUUUUGAGUAAGCAGAGGAACAGUAGCACAGAUAUUGCAGUUUUCCAUCAAGCAGUACAAUUUCCUAUAAAAGACAAGGCUUCCCUAAUUCUUCAAAUGCACCAGGUAACAUCUAUACAAAUAAUGGGAUUUGGCUGAGUACAGUUAAAUAUAUUUGAUUACUUCCCUUUUAUCUAGUUCUAGGUUUACUGUACUUUUCCUUGGAUGGCAAAUAAGAAGCCCUUUUCUUCUAAGUGACAGCAGGGAAAAGAAUCAGGUUGCUAAUUUACCCGAGACUCAGGAGUGUGUAAUGAUAGAUGUGUGCUGGAAACUACAGAGGGGGCUUUCUAAUUUUGGGGGGAGGAGAGAGGGAGAGCGUGAGAUUUGUUAAUCUUUCAGAUUGAUGGUGCUUUUGCUGAUGGACUUUCAUGGUUGUAAUUACACACACAUCAGGAAACAAAUGCAGUGAGAAGAAGAGCUGACAGGAGGCUGGGACCUAACAAAAUCUGUCAUACAGGAAGCAAUUAAAAUGGAAAAUCACCAUUCUCCAGACAAACAAGGACACAACGUGCUCGUGGUUAAUCACAGCAUCUUUCUCAAAGCAAAGGUUACAGACUUACUUGCAUGGUGUGGGAAGUGAGCACACACAUGGUCCAGGAGCAGUCUGGUUGAAGAAGCAGAAAUCCUUGUGUGGAUGUCCAGCUCUGCAGGACACCGGUGCUUCCAAGGACAUGUGCCACCUAGGUUUUUGCAUAAUAGAUCUCCACCAAAAUCUUUUUGAAGAGAUGUAAAGGAAAGAGGCAGGUGGAGAGGGAGAAGUGAGGAUGGAGGGC